AACAACUGAUAAUUCGAAAGGUAGAAUGAUGGGGUAACGCCCUGAAAUGCCUUCUCUGAUACUUCGACCGGCUCUGACUGUAAUGGUUGGGGUCUGGAGCUCGAUAAAGUCGGCGGAAGUCUGCCGAAACAGUGUAGAAAUACAGCUGUCGAAAGUGCGGUAGAGGUACCGUAUGCAGAUGACACGUCGGGAGUCUAUAAA
This 201-nucleotide non-coding RNA is filed under the name Clostridioides difficile. RNAcentral also lists the same sequence under 1 other name. The record is from RNAcentral. Lineage: Bacteria; Bacillati; Bacillota; Clostridia; Peptostreptococcales; Peptostreptococcaceae.